Molecule: non-coding RNA, 53 nt
Organism: Caenorhabditis elegans
Lineage: Eukaryota; Metazoa; Nematoda; Chromadorea; Rhabditida; Rhabditidae
Source: Ensembl
ACUCAAAGAUAUCAAUUUUCCGCCGAGUUACAGCUGUUUGAAGUUGGUGGCCU